CAGGACGCAGACGGGGGGACACUGGUUCCCUUCUUCAGUCCAGUGUCUCUGGAGAGCAGGAUAGUUGUGACUCACACUGGGGUUCUCAGCUGAGGCGGCUGAGGAGUGAGUGUGAGGCCAGCCCGGGCUGCAAACAUCUCCACAUCUCCACACUCUUGCCCUGUGUGCUCUUUCAUGCCUUGGAUGUUUUGUUGAUGCCGCUGUCUACAGACAGUGUUGACAGCUUGCUCUGUAGACCAGGCUGGCCUGAAGUUCACAGAAACCUACCAGCUGCUGAGUGUGGGGUGAGAGCUGCGUGCCACCACGGAAAGCUCGGGCCAGGAACCGGCUUCCCCUCCAGAACCCAGCCCCGCGACAGCCCCCUCCGUGGCCGGAGGACUGCCCUCCCUGGGGCCUGGGGCCUACCUGAGCCGGAAGGCUCGUCUCUCCUUCCGCCACCAGCUGCACGACGUGG
This is an RNA transcript of Meriones unguiculatus (Mongolian gerbil), 454 nucleotides long. It is a transcript of the gene named chromosome 11 C17orf114 homolog, with no coding region annotated. The transcript is spliced from 2 exons. NCBI's taxonomy places the organism in Eukaryota, Metazoa, Chordata, Mammalia, Rodentia, Muridae. The record is from RefSeq and is a predicted model, not a curated record.